GAAGAAGAGGGAGAGUUAACAGUGACCGCAGGGCCGCCAUCCCUGCCGCGUCCUUCCUUCUCCCCCCCGAAGCAGGAGCGGAGCGUCCCCCGGAGAAGUGCGGGAUGUCACCGCCGAGAGCCGACCCGCAGAGCCAACGUGGUACUGGGCUCGUCAUCUCCAAAAGGUUUAAUGAUCCCAGGGAUCCAGCAGAGAAGGGAAUGUGGCUCAAGCCUGUGCACAACAGCGAGGUGAGGAACUGGUGUCCACGCGAGAAAAGCUCUUCCAGAGGCAGAAACAGCCUUGAAAUGAGCUAAUUUGCCGGGCCCCGAGGCAGCUCACAUUCCUCCAGCAUCUUUAGCAUCGGCACCAUAUUUGGCAGUCGGCAUCCCCGCAAGGCCAAGCUCUUAUCCAGAGGGAUUAGCGGAGCCAAAGAAAAGAAGUUUUACAUUGAAAAUGAAGACAGGGAAGAAAAGCAACCCUAAACCAAAACCCGGGGAGAACUGGUGAGGAACCGCAGAACCAGUUCCACGUGAUUCUGCCCCUGACUAUUUCCAGGUAACUCCACAGAGGUAGAAGGGAGCUGCUAAAAGUGAGAAUGGCUUUUUCUUUGGCAGAUUUUGCCGGGAUUUUUCCUGUUGAACAAACAGAAGAGGCUGGGAACGGUGUCUCUCGCUUGCAUUUGUAUCUGAGGCUCGAACCCUGAGAGUUCAAGCCCUCCUGGAUGGCCCUGAGAAAGAGUGCUCUUUGGGCUGAAAAAGCUUCCAGCAUCCCAGCACCUUCCUACCCUGGUCUGGCAAACAGGAUCUCUCCCGGCAUCCCCAGCGGAUCCGGAUCCAGGACUCUGCAGACAAUGCCUAUUGUCUCAGUUUAAUUGCAGCAGCUCAUUAAGGACUGGGAGAAGCAAAGCCCAGCUCUUCCUCCUGGAGGAAUGGCCGACCCUGGUUUGGAGGGGGCUGGGUUUGAGCAGCUUGUCCCUGGUUUGUAGAAGUCACCUUUUUUAAGGGGUUUUAACCUUUUUUUGGUGGAUCUAAUGUUUGUGGUGGUGCAGCAUCCUCAAAGCUGGUGUGUUUGGCAGAAAUCCCGCUCCCACCAACUCCGAGGCGGGAUGUGGGGCUCCCCAGGGAUAGGCAAACCCUGUGCUGGGAUGGUUUUGCUUUACAACCAGCUCAUAACUGGUGAAGCAACGUGGGGAACUGGGUCUGCUGCCAGUUCCCCCUCUCCUCAUCCACAAAACCUCAUCUGAACACUUUGGACUGGAGUAGGGGAAAACUUUGAUUUAUUUUAUUUAAUUUUUUUGGCCACGCACCCUGCCUGCCCCAUUCCCUGGGAAAGAGACAUGGGAAACUGCCAGAAACAGCCAGCCCAGGCCUAUUCUUCUGCUGACAUUUCUUCU
This is a long non-coding RNA of Corapipo altera (White-ruffed manakin), 1375 nucleotides long. RefSeq lists it as uncharacterized. The transcript is spliced from 3 exons. NCBI's taxonomy places the organism in Eukaryota, Metazoa, Chordata, Aves, Passeriformes, Pipridae. The record is from RefSeq and is a predicted model, not a curated record.